GGUAUUGCCCCAUAUUCCUAGAGGACAAGCCCAAGCUUGCAACUCAAAUUUAUGAGUUACAAUUUCCAACUCAUCACCAUUGAUUCAAGAACAAAGGAAAAAAACUAAUACAAAGUGCAUUCUUCAUGAUGCCAUAAUUAAUGCUGUUAAAUAAAUAUAUUACUUAAUUUCAGAGAUCUGCAGAUUUCAGCUAACUGCAUUUGAGACAAAAGAUACCACUCAUCAGAUAAAAUUCUCAACUACUAAAGCCUGCGGAAGACAUUUUCCAGGAAAAUAUUUUCCUUGUUUCCCAUUGUUUGAAGCAGCUAUAAUACAUUAUAUGCAGCUAUUUUUGUGGCCAAUUGAAGGGCAAGCAUCAAAAAGGAUUAUAGAAAAACAUAAAAUUCAGAUUCUGACCCGUUAAAUUUUCAGCCGCACCACCAAACCUGGUUCCAUCCUUUCUAGAUCAAUAUGAAUAACAGUAAGUUCAAGAACAUGGUAACAGUUUUGAAAUAUCAAUCCAAAUUGACAAUGAAAACUUCGCUGUCAGAGGAAGUAUCAUCGUCCCUAAAAGCAGAAAUCAUCUGUUGCUGGAAUGCUAUGAAUGAAAAUCUGGAAUGUAUCCAAUGAGUUUCUUGAUCUAUCUAUACCUUCAAGAUAUUGGAUGCCGCCUCCUUUUGGGUCGGCUUCGGUCUUCCUCAUAGUCCAUCACUCCACCAGGCUCAGAGUAGAUCUCCUCGUGCCCUCUGAAGUCAAUGUCGGCCUGCUUACAGUGUGUAACUUCUGCCACAACGUAAGUAAGACACAUCGACCGACAUAUCCCAGAAACUGAAUAUAAAGUCUAUUAUCUACUAACAUUAUGGAUAUCAUAAGAUCCAAACUGCCCAACUCAAGAAUAUCAUCCAUCAAAAGCAAGCAAACCUAUAUUAGUUCAAUGUAGUUUUGCAUUGGUCCAUUGGCAUCUUUUCAAGGAAAAUUUUGAAACAAGCAAGCAGUGAUAAUCUAAUAAAUCAUAAAUAAAGACAAUUAAAAAUGAGAUGCCGUUUAAUUCUUCUAGCCAAACUUGCCAGCAUGCAGAUUUACCACAUCCCCAAGAAAGAGAGAGAGGGAGAGAGAAAGGGAGAGAAGAGGGGUGGAGGGGUAGGGGGAGGGGUCUCUCUCUCUCUCUCUGCCUGUCACAAGCCCUGCCCCCAACACUCAUCUCCCCACACCAAAGAAAAAAUAUGUGCAUGGAAUAACCCACUAAAUUAAUUUGUUGUCAAAUAAAUUGAACUAGAAAUAUAAAACUGGAAUCAACUGACCUUGAGGGAGAGGGACUUCUUUA
RNAcentral lists this unclassified non-coding RNA (1303 nucleotides) under Hevea brasiliensis (rubber tree). The record is from RNAcentral. Lineage: Eukaryota; Viridiplantae; Streptophyta; Magnoliopsida; Malpighiales; Euphorbiaceae.